AUUGAACGCUGGCGGCAGGCCUAACACAUGCAAGUCGAACGAGUGGCAGACGGGUGAGUAAUGUCUGGGAAACUGCCCGAUGGAGGGGGAUAACUACUGGACACGGUAGCUAAUACCGCAUAACCUCGGAUACGCCCAGGUGGGAUGAGCUAGUAGGGGGGGUAAUGGCUCCCAUAGGCGACAAUCCCUAGCUGGUCUGAGAGGAGGACCAGCCACACUGGAACUGGGACACGGCCCAGACGCCUAAGGGCGUCAGCAGUGGGGAAUAUUGCACAAUGGGCGCAAGCCUGAUGCAGCCACUCCGCGUGUAUGAAGAAGGCCUUCGGGUUGUAAAGUACUUUCAGCGGGGAGGCGUUACCCGCAGAAGAAGCACCGGCUAACUCCGUGCCAGCAGCCGCGGUAAUAC
Molecule: ribosomal RNA, 406 nt
Filed under: uncultured bacterium
Lineage: Bacteria
Description: partial 16S ribosomal RNA
Rfam family: Bacterial small subunit ribosomal RNA
Source: RNAcentral